Molecule: non-coding RNA, 28 nt
Filed under: Mus musculus (house mouse)
Lineage: Eukaryota; Metazoa; Chordata; Mammalia; Rodentia; Muridae
Source: RNAcentral
UGACACUCAUCUUCUCUGACGACUCUGG